AUGUUUCUAACUCUCUAUCUCUCUCCCUUCCUCUCUGUAAAAAAUCAGUAAAAUAUAUUUAAAAAAAAACAAACAAAAAAAAAACAAAACAAAAAACCUAAUGUGGAGUGAAAGAAGCAAGACAUCAAAGAACAGUUAACGUUUGAUUCAAUUAUAUAAAGUUAAAAGGUAUUGUUUAUGAUGAGUAUACGCAAUAGCAAAACUCUGAAGGAGAUCAGGGACCUGGUUGCUCUGAGGACCUGAAGGGUGCUGUGGGUCAUCGGAGUCUCUGAUCAGCAAGGCAGGGAUGGGAACGUUGGGGUGCUAGCAGUGUUCUGGUGUUGGUUGCUCUGUAACUGAAUUUGAUAAACUUUUUGUAGGUAUGUCAUAUUUCACAAUAAACAAUGCUAAAUUCAA
Long non-coding RNA from Myotis lucifugus (little brown bat), 396 nucleotides. RefSeq lists it as uncharacterized. NCBI's taxonomy places the organism in Eukaryota, Metazoa, Chordata, Mammalia, Chiroptera, Vespertilionidae. The record is from RefSeq and is a predicted model, not a curated record. The transcript is spliced from 2 exons.